RNAcentral lists this ribosomal RNA (649 nucleotides) under uncultured fungus. Its description in RNAcentral is "eukaryotic LSU rRNA". It matches the Rfam family "Eukaryotic large subunit ribosomal RNA", at positions 24 to 664 of the family's 3401-position model. The record is from RNAcentral. Lineage: Eukaryota; Fungi.
CCCGCUGAACUUAAGCAUAUCAAUAAGCGGAGGAAAAGAAACUAACAAGGAUUGCCCUAGUAACUGCGAGUGAAGCGGGAAGAGCUCAAAUUUUGAAUCUGGCGGCGUUUGGUCGUACGAGUUGUAAUCUAAAGAAGCGUCGUCCGCGCUGGACCGUGUACAAGUCUCCUGGAAGGUAGCGUCAUAGAGCAUGAGAACACAGUGUGUGACACGGACUUCCAGUGCUAUCUGAUAGCGCUCUAGUCGAGUUGAGUUGUUUGGGAAAGCAGCUCAAAAUGGCUGCUCAAUUCCAUCUAUAACUAUAUACAAGAGAGAGAUCGAUAGCGGACAAGUAUAGUGAGCGAGAGAUGAAAUGAACUUAGGAAAGAGAGUUAGACAGUAUAUGUAAAUUGCGUGAAAGGGAAACGCGAGAUGUCAGUCACGUCGGCUAGGGAUCAGCCUUGCUUCUCGCUGAGUGUAUUUCCUAGUGGACUGGUCAGCAUCAGUUUCGGUCUCUGUAUCAAGGGCAAAGGCAACGGCGCACUCCAUGGAGCGUGUUAUAGCCUUUCGUCAGUAUGCAGUGGUGUGCGACUGACGAUCUCGGCACGAAAUCUAUUCUGUGCCUAGGAUGCUGGCAUAAUGGCCGUCAGCGACCCGUCUUGAAACACGG